GAUGAAGAACGCAGCGAAAUGCGAUAAGUAAUGUGAAUUGCAGAAUUCAGUGAAUCAUUGAAUCUUUGAACGCACAUUGCGCCCGCCAGUAUUCUGGCGAGCAUGCCUGUUCGAGCGUCAUUUCAACCAUCAAGCCCCAGGCUUGUGUUGGAGCCCUGCGGCUGCCGCAGCCUCCCAAAACCAGUGGCGGGCUCGCUAUCACACCGAGUGCAGUAGUUUACUCUUCGCUCAGGGCGUGUGGCGGGUGCUAGCCGUGAAACCCCCAACUUCUCAAGGUUGACCUCGGAUCAGGUAGGAAUACCCGCUGAACUUAAGCAUAUCAAUAAGCGGAGGA
This 334-nucleotide unclassified non-coding RNA is filed under the name soil metagenome. Its description in RNAcentral is "partial contains 5.8S ribosomal RNA, internal transcribed spacer 2, and large subunit ribosomal RNA". The stretch from base 1 to 120 matches the Rfam family "5.8S ribosomal RNA", at positions 35 to 154 of the family's 154-position model. The record is from RNAcentral.